UACGUAGGGACCAAGCGUUGUUCGGAUUUACUGGGCGUAAAGGGCUCGUAGGCGGUUUGUCGCGUCGGGAGUGAAAACCUUGGGCUUAACUCAGGGCUUGCUUUCGAUACGGGCAGACUAGAGGUAUGCAGGGGAGAACGGAAUUCCUGGUGUAGCGGUGAAAUGCGCAGAUAUCAGGAGGAACACCGGUGGCGAAGGCGGUUCUCUGGGCAUGAUCUGACGCUGAGGAGCGAAAGUGUGGGGAGCGAACAGG
Molecule: ribosomal RNA, 253 nt
Filed under: uncultured bacterium
Lineage: Bacteria
Description: partial 16S ribosomal RNA
Rfam family: Bacterial small subunit ribosomal RNA
Source: RNAcentral